This 440-nucleotide ribosomal RNA is filed under the name uncultured bacterium. Its description in RNAcentral is "partial 16S ribosomal RNA". It matches the Rfam family "Bacterial small subunit ribosomal RNA", at positions 338 to 795 of the family's 1533-position model. The record is from RNAcentral.
CCUACGGGCGGCAGCAGUAGGGAAUAUUGCUCAAUGGGGGAAACCCUGAAGCAGCAACGCCGCGUGGAGGAUGAAGGUUUUCGGAUUGUAAACCCCUUUUGUUAGAGAAGAUAAUGACGGUAUCUAACGAAUAAGCACCGGCUAACUCCGUGCCAGCAGCCGCGGUAAUACGGAGGGUGCAAGCGUUACUCGGAAUCACUGGGCGUAAAGAGCGCGUAGGCGGGAUAGCAAGUCAGAUGUGAAAUCCUUUGGGUUAAACAUAGAACUGCAUUUGAAACUGUUAGUCUAGAGUAUGGGAGAGGUAGGUGGAAUUCUUGGUGUAGGGGUAAAAUGCGUAGAGAUCAAGAAGAAUACUGAUUGCGAAGGCGACCUGCUAGAGCAUAACUGACGCUGAUGCGCGAAAGCGUGGGGAGCAAACAGGAUUAGAUACCCGAGUAGUC